UACGUAGGGGGCUAGCGUUAUCCGGAAUUACUGGGCGUAAAGGGUGCGUAGGUGGUUUCUUAAGUCAGAGGUGAAAGGCUACGGCUCAACCGUAGUAAGCCUUUGAAACUGGGAAACUUGAGUGCAGGAGAGGAGAGUGGAAUUCCUAGUGUAGCGGUGAAAUGCGUAGAUAUUAGGAGGAACACCAGUUGCGAAGGCGGCUCCCUGGACUGUAACUGACACUGAGGCACGAAAGCGUGGGGAGCAACAGGAUUAGAUACCCCUGUAGUCCCUGAG
Molecule: ribosomal RNA, 276 nt
Filed under: uncultured prokaryote
Description: partial 16S ribosomal RNA
Rfam family: Bacterial small subunit ribosomal RNA
Source: RNAcentral